RNAcentral lists this transfer RNA (94 nucleotides) under Nocardia ninae. RNAcentral describes it as "tRNA-Gly". Lineage: Bacteria; Bacillati; Actinomycetota; Actinomycetes; Mycobacteriales; Nocardiaceae. RNAcentral also lists the same sequence under 1 other name. The record is from RNAcentral.
GGCCGUCGUGCGGCAGGUCGAGCUGGAGGCCGUCCCGGCUUCGCCUGCGCCGGAACCGAAUCCGGUGUCCGGUGCGACAUCGGCGGCGGCCACC